This 73-nucleotide non-coding RNA is filed under the name Sus scrofa (pig). Lineage: Eukaryota; Metazoa; Chordata; Mammalia; Artiodactyla; Suidae. The record is from RNAcentral.
UUGGCGGCCAUGGCGGUCUCGGAGCCCGGGUACCGGAGCUGGUCCUUGUGGCCCGAGGUGCCAUCCGCCACCU